GGGCCAUUCUCCACUAAUUGGAAAAUCGCUGUCCGCGGCAAAUUUUACAUAUAAGAUGUUUAUAUUACUGAGUUCUAUAUAUUAAAAACGAUAGUGUACUAGUUAUUCUUAGUACGCUAUAGCUUAUUUAGUAAUAUAAUAUUGUAAUAUUAUAAUAAAUGCACUUUAAACACCUCAAAACACAGUCCCCUGUAGUGUCCCAUUUCCAGAAUUAGAAGUUUCGUGACAAAAAAAAUAUGUUCUUUAUUGUUAUUUCCAAAGUAUAAAAUAUUCAAGUAAUACUAGUAUACAUUAAGUAUCUUUGUAAAACAAAGUGAUAUUUUUAAGUAGAAAUUUAAUAUUUAAUUUGGUAUGACAAAUGUUGUCCUCAAUAUUUUCGAUCAGUCCCCUGUUACAAUUUGAAAAAUGCUCUGAAAUCUUAUUAUGCAUUGGCGCGGACAUUGAGACCAUGAAACGGAACGCAACCGCUGUGAAGUUCGUUCGGUUGCAAACGAAACGCGCCGUCGCCAUUUAGUUUAGUGUCACCAAUGCGUUCCAAGGUGACACCACGCGUCCUGGCUGCACGUUGAAACAGUCCACUGGUAAUGUUCCAAAAUGCCACCCAAAAAGAAGCCACCCAAAAUUAGAGAAGAAAUAUUAGAACAAAAAUGUACAGCUGAACGUUUGAGAUAUCAACGACUUCAAAAUGACCUGCAAAAGAGAGAAGAAAUGAAAGAGAAAGAGAGACGAAAAUACCAAAAGAAGAAAGAAAAAUGCACUAGAAAAUUAGUCAAGGACAGGCAGACACAAUAAAUACUGACUUUAGUGUCAUAGUAUCAGUUACAUAAAGACUGUUUAGCAAAGAUGUUAAUUUUAAUAAGUUUAAUACAAUAUAUGAUGAUGAUGUUACGUUAAGAGGCCGUUAUCGAUUUUAGUCGCAAAAAUGUCAUAUUGAUAGAUUCGAUGAAAUUUGAGACCUUUUCUUAACUAUUUGAAAUAACAAGUCCUGGUGUCUAGUAGCACGUCUUGUAACCUUUUAUUUUAAUAAAUUAUUUUUUUGAAAACAGACUCACUUAAUUAGGUACUUUUUUUUCUGAUGGACGUUUAGGUAAACGCGCGUAAAGCACUGAUUUAGUCGAUCCUCUUUGUAAAUGUAGAAAAGUUUGGACUGCUAAAAAUGUUAAUUUUGUAUUACACAUACCCUGUACUUCAACUUUAAUAAAUUACAUUUUUGUUAUUAUAAAUUUAAAGUAGUGUAAAUGAAAGAAAGACGAAAUCAAUUUUCUCCAGAAAUUACUCAAAACAAGUGAUAGUUUCUCUGAAAAUCGGCUUAAUUUCAACGUAAUUUUAAUACUUAAACAAUCGAUAACAUUUGCUGAAACUGUUCUUAUACAUCAUUUUGUAUAAUUUACUACCAUAUUUUUUUUUGUUUAAUUUUUAAAAACUGUCUCUUUUCGUCACAUAUUACCGGGCACGCACGCUUGCGACCUCAUUAUUAAAAGGCAAGAUGAGAAAACGUGCUAAUAGAAACCAAUAGGUACUUGUUAUUUAGAUAUUACGUAACAAAAGGUGUACAAUUUCAACGACUUAAUCUAUCAAUUUUAUAUUUUUGCUCUAAAAUCGUUACUGGGCUCUUAAAUUUGUUGAUCUAUUCUUCAGAAAUACUGAUUGUAAAAGUUUAAUAAAAAUAAAGAAUUUAAUUGCUUUCUUUCGAUAAAAAAA
Cydia pomonella (codling moth) is the source of this 1701-nucleotide long non-coding RNA. RefSeq lists it as uncharacterized. The record is from RefSeq and is a predicted model, not a curated record. NCBI's taxonomy places the organism in Eukaryota, Metazoa, Arthropoda, Insecta, Lepidoptera, Tortricidae. The transcript is spliced from 2 exons.